UACGAAGGGUGCAAGCGUUAUUCGGAAUUAUUGGGCGUAAAGGGCGCGUAGGCGGUUCUUCAAGUCUCUCGUGAAAUCCCUCGGCUUAACUGAGGACGUGCGGGAGAUACUGAAGGGCUUGAGUCCGGAAGAGGGUGGUGGAAUUCCUGGCGUAGCGGUGAAAUGCGCAGAUAUCAGGAAGAACACCAAUGGCGAAGGCAGCUCUCUGGACGGUACUGACGCUGAGACGCGAAAGCGUGGGGAGCGAACAGG
This 252-nucleotide ribosomal RNA is filed under the name uncultured bacterium. Its description in RNAcentral is "partial 16S ribosomal RNA". It matches the Rfam family "Bacterial small subunit ribosomal RNA", at positions 524 to 776 of the family's 1533-position model. The record is from RNAcentral.